AACGAACGCUGGCGGCAGGCUUAACACAUGCAAGUCGAGCGAAACCUUCGGGUCUAGCGGCGGACGGCGGAGUGACGAGUGGGGACGUGCCCUUCUCUACGCAAUCGCUCAGGGAAACAGGGCGUAAUACCGCUGAGGCUAAUUGCGGGUAAGAUCUUUCGGAGUAGGGUCGGCCCGGGAUGGAUUCGGCAGUUGGGGGGGUAAUGGCGCACCAACCCGACGUUCCAUAGCUGGUUUGUGAGGAGGAUCAGCCACACUGGGACUGAGACACGGCCCAGACUCCUACGCGAGGCAGCAGUGGGGAAUCUUAGACAAUGGGGGCAGACGUGAUCUAGCCAUGUCGCGUAAGUGAUGAAGGCCUUAGGGUUGUAAAGCUCUUUCAGCUGGGAAGAUAAUGACGGUACCAGCAGAAGAAGCCCCGGCUAACUCCGUG
This 433-nucleotide ribosomal RNA is filed under the name uncultured bacterium. RNAcentral describes it as "partial 16S ribosomal RNA". It matches the Rfam family "Bacterial small subunit ribosomal RNA", at positions 29 to 507 of the family's 1533-position model. The record is from RNAcentral.